UGUUCAUCUCAUCUCCCCCAUCUCAUUCUCUCUCUUUAUUCUCCCUCUGUUCUCUUUCUCUCUCUACGGUAAAGGGAUUUGUUAUUGUGACUAGAGACUUAGUUGCUUGCUUUAGAUUUUCUAAGUGUUUUGUUUUCUUUUUUUUUUUUUUUCAUUUGUUGUUCUUUGUUUUGCUUAGUUUUUUAGGUGUUUUGUUUUCUGUCUUUUUUUGUUUGCCUGAGUUGUUUGUUUAUGGUGAAUAGAGGCUUGUUGUUACAGUUCAAGACUUUGAGUUUUUUAUAUUGAUUCAAAUAACUAAUGGAAUUCGAAUAUUCGAUUAACCAGUCGGAUCAAAUUCAGUUGUUAAGUCUUCACAUCCGCCGAAUAUUUAAUCGAAUUCGAAUCAUCACUUUUACAAUCGAAUUCGAAAUCGAACUUAGUGUGAUUCGAGUCGAAUUCGCUCCGUUUACAGGCAUAGCUAUGAAGGAGAUGAAUUGGAAACAGCUAUGAAGGAUACGGAAAGGGUGAUGAAGCCAGCAUUAGGGAAAUAAUUUCAGAGGUGGAUACAGAUAACGUAAGUUUUCUCUAAACUGAAACCUGAAAGUGUCAUGCUACAGAAUUAAAAAUGGCAUUGACGCCUAUUAAACCUACAAGAUGGGAGAAUCAACUAUGAGGAGUGGAAUGCAGCAACAUGCCAAGCUAUUCUAAUUCCAGUGACAGCCAACUUUUUUUUUUUUUUUUAUUAGUGCCAAAUACAUUGGCCAAGCUAUUC
Non-coding RNA from Nelumbo nucifera (sacred lotus), 751 nucleotides. Lineage: Eukaryota; Viridiplantae; Streptophyta; Magnoliopsida; Proteales; Nelumbonaceae. The record is from RefSeq and is a predicted model, not a curated record.